ACGGAGGAUCCAAGCGUUAUCCGGAUUUAUUGGGUUUAAAGGGUGCGUAGGCGGUCCUAUAAGUCAGUGGUGAAAGACGGCAGCUUAACUGUCGCAGUGCCUUUGAUACUGUAGGACUUGAAUCUAUUUGAAGUGGGCGGAAUAAGACAAGUAGCGGUGAAAUGCAUAGAUAUGUCUUAGAACUCCGAUUGCGAAGGCAGCUCACUAAGUUAGUAUUGACGCUGAUGCACGAAAGCGUGGGGAUCAAACAGGAUUAGAUACCCUGGUAGUCCACGCCCUAAACGAUGAUAACUCGAUGUUUGCGAUACACAGUAAGCGUCCAAGCGAAAGCGUUAAGUUAUCCACCUGGGGAGUACGGUCGCAAGAUU
This 368-nucleotide ribosomal RNA is filed under the name uncultured bacterium. RNAcentral's name for it is "bacterial SSU rRNA". It matches the Rfam family "Bacterial small subunit ribosomal RNA", at positions 525 to 895 of the family's 1533-position model. The record is from RNAcentral.